This 1920-nucleotide ribosomal RNA is filed under the name Triticum aestivum (bread wheat). RNAcentral's name for it is "partial small subunit ribosomal RNA". Lineage: Eukaryota; Viridiplantae; Streptophyta; Magnoliopsida; Poales; Poaceae. The record is from RNAcentral.
AUGCGAUGGUGGCCGGAGCCCUGGAUGAGCCAUGAUCUGGAAAGGAGCGCGGAUCAAGGUCACCAGGACCGGAGUAGCAGGGACACCGGCGUGCCUAGGGAGCCGGAAGGGGACGCAACUCCCGAAGCGUGCCGGAGGCGAAGAUGCACCGGGAUGGACGGCCAACCAAGGUCGACUGAAACGCUCUCAAAUGAACAUCAGAAGGGCUUGAUCUGCUGUUCUCCGUCGCCCCUGCUACACCCAGCUUCCUAUCAUCCUCGAAUUGAUCCAGAUAUUGGGCUCAUCGUUGCACUCUUCUCACCGGCUGGUCUACUCGUUGGACGGGAAUCAAUGGCAGGAGGGGGAGGAGGAGGACUGGUGGUGCGUGUGUGGAAAGAAUGGGGGAUCCAGAUCUUGGUUGUCACCAGCUUCCUGCUUCAGCUCGUCCUCCUCAUCUUCGGUGGGUUCCGGCGGCGAAGCUCCUCUGCUGUGUUGAUGGCCUUCCUCUGGCUGUCCUACCUGAUGGCUGAUAACAUCGCGGUAUACGCCCUUGGCCACAUGACUCUGGAAAGCAGGCCCCGCGACGCUGGGCUUGUGGCGUUUUGGGCAACCUUCUUUCUGCUCCACCUCGGUGGUCAGGACACCAUCACCGCCUUCUCCAUGGAGGACAACCAGCUCUGGAGGCGCCACCUGCUGACUCUCGUGGUGCAGGCAUCAGGAGCCGGCUACGCCCUGCACCGCUACACCAUACCUGGUACCUGGACUUUGGUCUCAGCCACCAUAGUGAUGUUCAUAGUGGGUUUUCUCAAGUAUGGGGAGAGGGUGUGCGCUCUCCAAAGAGGGCCUAAGGCGCAAGUGAUCCACACUUGGCUGGGAUACUUGAUCCGUGCCAUCUCACUGCUUGGCACGGUGAUCGCAUUCUUGUUGUUCCUCCUUGACGACAGUAAAGGUGCUUACAGCAGAGUAGGUGUCUCCAUCAGUUACUUGCUAUUGGCUGGGGCCAUCAUCCUGGAAACAGCAUCGGUGUUUAGAGCUGUAGGAUCGACAUGGACGUGCGAGUACUUGCAUCGUCAGGGAUGGGACCGAACUAAUGCUAUUAUUAUUGGGCAACAUAAUGUGCUGGAUUACUACUGUCCAGAGGAAGCCAAGCUUACAAGGAUGAUCAAUAAGGUAACUCUACUUAAAGAGUGGUGGAUAAAGGUUGGAUUCUCAGGCAAUACGAAGAUCACAGUUGAGUUGAAGCAGCUAGUGCUAGCACGGAUAUUGAGAACAAUGACUGAUGAUUCUAGUACAUGGAGCAUCUGGGACUCACAGGGCAGAGCAGCGCUUGCGGAGUACGGGCUCUUGGAAAAUAGUUUCUGCUUUUCUGUCGAGGGCAGGAGUUUCACUGAUAUAAUUCACAUGUGGCAGGUUGCAACCGACAUUUACCUUAACCUCAACACGCCUGCUGAUAUGGAGGAUGGUAAACAACUUCUAGCAGCAAUAAAUGUACUAUCUAACUACAUGGGUUUUCUAAUGCUGCACCCAAGCUUACUGCCCACCGGAAUUCCACUCGAUCCUGCUGUCUCUAAUAGUGUGACGAAUGGCGAUAUAAUCUACGGUAUUUCUAGGAAGGAACUUGCAGUGCAAUUGCUUAGCAGGCGGGAUCGUUCUACGACCAAUCUCUCCGGACAUCUUGCUCGUGAGCUCCUUCAAAAGGGAUAUGACUUGCCGAUGCUGCAAGUCAUCUUCGGGGUGUGGGUGGAGUUGCUGUGCUAUGCAGCCCACCACAGCAACCAUAUUUCUCACUGCAAACAACUUGGCAGUGGCGGUGAGUUCCUCACUGUUAUCCGCCUCGUCAUAGAUCACACCGAGCUAUUUCACAAGUAUAAGAAUUAUACUCCGCCACCUAUUAACCCUGGUCACUAUGUUCAUAUGGGCGAGAUGAUGAACGAUUGCUGA